UCCGACUCGAGGACGGAUCGUUAAUAAUUUAAGCGAAUUAUCGAUAAGACCAUUUACUUAUUGUUAAAUGUGCCGUUGGAGUCGGAGUUUUGUCUAUAUAUGUCAAAUUCCGAAAUGGUCAUUUAUCUUGAGCUAUCCUGCAGAUUUGUGGAACAAAGGAUCCUGAAUUCGAUCGAAUCUAUAUUAUAUUAGCUAACGCUCCUUUAAUUUUUUCAUCACUUUCGGCAUUAACGAUAUAUAUGAGACGACGAUAAAACUAAAAGAGGACCCAUAAGUACAGCUAGCUGUUUAUCUGAAAAAAUCAUAUACACAUACGUAAACAAUACCUAAAUAAUUCAUGAGUUUUAAUCGACCAAUCCUAUUUCAUUAAUUCGGCCAAUUAAUUUUGAUGCAAUCGAUGAAUUCUUUUUCUUUCCGAAAUUUAUGAAAAAGAAUAUGUGACGUUAGCGAUCGUCGAUAUAUGAACACGAUAUUAUUCACCGCACGCAUGCGCAGAAAUACAUGGGCACAAUUUAAUGGAGGAUACGCAUCAUGGAUACAUGUAGUAUAAAAUUCUAGGAUUUCUAGGUUGCCCAGGUGGAAACAAGUGGACGCGAGACGCGACUCGUUGUUCCGUAGUGCUCUAUCCUCUAUUGUGUAUCAAUUGCCUGUUACGUACGUGAGCAUAAGAUAUCUGAUAUUGUGACGGUUUAGUUAGCGAGAACAGUAGAUACGCAGCAUUGUUACGAAGCUGCGACCACGAAGCAGAACGGACGGGAGAUUCUCUACGGUGGCGUUAAGUCGGAAGCGUUGACAUGGGGUCCAACAAACGACACAAAACCGAGAAGUCUCGCGAUGCUAAGAAGAAACGUCAUCGCAGUCGCUCGAGAAGUUAUACACCCGAUCGCGAGAAGUCGGAGAAGCAUAGGCACCAUAAGAAACACCGGAGGAAAGAGCGCAAGGAUUAUGACAGCGAUGUUGAAAUUGUUAAUGCUCCACCACCACCAAAAAUAUCAAAGUCGUCACAUCCGUCAACGCCUCCACCACCUGAAAUCUCUAAGCAGCAUAGUCCAUCUCCUGCCAAAGGUGGGGCGUCGCAAACCUCAUUAUCAAUUGAAGAAACCAACAAGAUUCGCGCAAAGUUAGGGUUAAAACCACUGGAAGUGGACAGUACAUCCAAAGAUGACCCUAGUAAAAUCAAAGAUGACCUGGGCGAGUUUUACCAUAAACCUGCACCCAACAAUAGUGAUAAAAUAAAGGCGCAGAAGCUGAGAGAGAAGAUAAGCAUUCAGAAAGAAAAGAGACAGAUUGAUGCAAAUUUGUCGAAAACGAAAACUUUGGGUGAAUGUGAUUCGGACGAUGAUACUCGAGCAUGGAUCAGCAAAUCUAGACAGCUAGAAGAAGAAAAGAAGAAAGCGGAAAUGAGAGCAAAGAUGUUGGAUCAAUUGGAUGAGGAGUUUGGAAUUGGUAAUUUGGUUAAAGAGGAUAUGCAUACUACCCGUAAUGCCGCAUAUACAGGGAAAGAUUUAAAAGGCCUUAAAGUUGAACACAAUAUUGAUACAUUUGAGGAAGGCAAAACUGUAAUUUUAACAUUGAAAGAUCAAGAAGUAUUAAAUGACAGUGGUGAUUUACUUGUAAAUGUGAAUAUUGUUGACAAUGAACGUUACAAACGUAGUGUUAUCAAUAAGCUUAAAAAACCUACGUAUGAUCCAUAUGCUGACGAAAAUUUGGACGAAUAUGGAUUCCCUAAAAAUAAGAUUUUAGAAAAGUACGAUGAGGAAAUCGAUGGUGAGAAAAAAGACAAUUUUGUGUUGGGCACUAAUAAUGCGGUUGAAUUUAAACGACGUCAGAUGGAGACAGUAAAGCAACGUUUAGCGAAUAAAAAAUUGGAAACUCUACAAAUGGCAGAACCGAAAUUAGCAAGCGAAUAUUACAAUGAAGAGGAACUUGCAAAAUUCAAGAAACCAAAGAAGAAGAUUCGGAAAAUUAGAACAAAAAAGAAACUAAAGGCUGAUGAUCUGGUUCCUGUGGAUAAUGAUUAUCUUAGAGAUCUUGGAAGUAGGAGAAAAAAAAGACUGGAAGAUUCAAAGGAUAAUGAUACUUUAGAUGUCGACGAUUUAGAAGCUCCAGAGGAAGACCUUACUGGGAUAAAACUUGAAGAAGACGAUAAGGAAUUAGAGUUACAAUUGGCUUUAAAGAAAACUCAACGUUUGAAGGAGGGACAUUUAUCUGAGAUUCAGAAAACCGUUGAAACAAUAAAGCAGGAAAUUCUUAACUCUGAAGAAAAUCAAUCUGGGAAUAUCGUUCUUAAUUCUACUGCAGAAUUUUGUAGAACUUUGGGUGAUAUACCUACUUAUGGACUCGCUGGAAAUAGAGAGGAAAAUGGACAAGAACUCAUGGAUUUUGAAGUGGACGAAAUUAAAGAUGAGCCACCUGCAAACGAAGAAGAGGAUGAUGGCCGUGGUGCCUGGAACACAGUACAUUUAGACGAGAACAUUUCGGAACCAGUUGUAAUGGAGGCAGCAAUUCUAGAUGCCGAGCCAUCACUCGGUCAUGGGGUAGGUGGAGCUUUAAAAUUAGCUAUGAGUAAAGGUUACUUGCAGAAAGAGGACAGCAAUCGCCCCUCGGCGUCACGAUUUGCACAUUUGCAAGCUCAGAAUUAUUCAAUAGAGGACAAGACAUACGGUUAACAGUUUUAAAUAGAGCCCGGAAAUCGGUGCUCGGAACGGGUGAUCCGCUACCACUACGAGAGUUUACCGCUUAAUCGGAGGUGAACACAAGGCCUGAGAAGAGAGUAGGAUUUGUUAAGGGAUGACGACAAGUUUGGCAGAAGAGAUCGCUUUAACGGACCAACAUCCGAUUUUAAGGAAAAAGACGGAUUCAAACCAAACGUUAAGCUGGAAUAUAUUGAUGAUGAUGGACACGUUUUGUGCGCUAAGGAA
RNAcentral lists this unclassified non-coding RNA (2921 nucleotides) under Monomorium pharaonis (pharaoh ant). Lineage: Eukaryota; Metazoa; Arthropoda; Insecta; Hymenoptera; Formicidae. The record is from RNAcentral.